GAUGAUGGCUAGGUUCAGGCUUAACACAUGCAAGUCGAGGGGCAGCAUGAUCGAAGCAUGCUUUGAGAGAUGGCGACCGGCGCACGGGUGAGUAACGCGUAUCCAACCUUCCCUAUAGUAGAGAAUACCCCGGCGAAAGUCGGAUUAAUGCUCUAUGUUGUAUUUAGAGGACAUCUGAAGAAUACCAAAGGUUUACCGCUAUAGGAUGGGGAUGCGUCUGAUUAGGUAGUAGGCGGGGUAACGACCCACCUAGCCGACGAUCAGUAGGGGUUCUGAGAGGAAGGUCCCCCACAUGGGAACUGAGACACGGUCCAAACUCCUACGGGAGGCAGCAGUGAGGAAUAUUGGUCAAUGGACGGAAGUCUGAACCAGCCAAGUAGCGCGCAGGACGACGGCCCUAUGGGUUGUAAGCUGCUUUUAUAUAGGGAUAAAGUCGGGGACGUGUCCCCGUUGUA
RNAcentral lists this ribosomal RNA (455 nucleotides) under bacterium FCS013. RNAcentral describes it as "bacterial SSU rRNA". It matches the Rfam family "Bacterial small subunit ribosomal RNA", at positions 28 to 473 of the family's 1533-position model. The record is from RNAcentral.